This 1894-nucleotide long non-coding RNA is filed under the name Pan troglodytes (chimpanzee). RNAcentral describes it as "long non-coding RNA NONPTRT008218". Lineage: Eukaryota; Metazoa; Chordata; Mammalia; Primates; Hominidae. The record is from RNAcentral.
UCCUACCACGUUCCCUAAACAUUCAGAAGGAGGCAUUCAUCCUACCACGUUCCCUAAACAUUCAGAAGGAGGCAUUCAUCCUACCACGUUCCCUAAACAUUCAGAAGGAGGCAUUCAUCCUACCACGUUCCCUAAACAUUCAGAAGGAGGCAUUCAUCCUACCACGUUCCCUAAACAUUCAGAAGGAGGCAUUCAUCCUACCACGUUCCCUAAACAUUCAGAAGGAGGCAUUCAUCCUACCACGUUCCCUAAACAUUCAGAAGGAGGCAUUCAUCCUACCACGUUCCCUAAACAUUCAGAAGGAGGCAUAUUCAGUGGGUGGAUUUGUGAAAUAUUUUUCUAGAUCCAUUUGUAAUGUCCUCUUUCCUCCUCUAAACAAAGGGCUGGGAUUCUGUAAAAGCCACAGCACGUUACAUUCCUUUCUUUUUCUAAGCAGGAAUCUCUCUUUCUGAAAUGAGUUAUUACCUCCAUGUUGGGGCAAGGGAAAGAGCCCUGGACUGUGGAGAGUGAAGUGAAAAUAACAAAAACAUCAAAUGGUUGGGAAUGCAUCAAAGGUGUGAACACAGAUGUCUCUCCUACACAUAUGAUCAAGGAAUUACCACCAAAAGAGAACAAUAGCACAGGAAAAGUAUUCCAAGCAGUGAUGUUGGAAAGACAUGAAAUCCAUGACAUCCAAGAUUUUUACUUCAGAGAAAUGCAGCAAAAUAUUCAUGACUUUGAGUGUCAGUGUCACAAUGAUGAGAGAAAUUACAGAGAAAUACCUGCAAUUAAAAUUAAAAACAUCACUGGAAGAAGAGAUCAAGGUGAUGGAAGGAAUGCAGGAAAUAAGCCAGUUGAAAAUCAGCUUGAACUAAGCUUUUGGUUGCAUCUGGCUGAACUGCAGGGAUUUCAAAUUGAAAGGAAAAUUUAUGAAUGUAAUCAAAUUGAGAAGUCUGUCACCCGUGGGUCCUCAGUUUCAUUACUUCAAACAAAUCUUCCUCGUGUCAACACCAGCAUUUCUAAUAUAUAUAGGAAUGAUUUUAUACAUCCUUCAUUACUCACACAAGACCAGAAAGCAUACAUUAGGGAAAAACCUUACAAAUGUAGUGAUUGUGGCAAGGCCUUUAAUCAGAGGUUCAACCUUACUACACAUCAGAGAAUCCAUACUGGACAGAAACCACAUAAAUGUGAUAUAUGUGGCAAAGGUUUCAGGCAAAUUGGAAACCUAGCAAGUCAUCAUAGAAUUCAUACUGGAGAGAAACCUUACAGAUGUAAUGAGUGUGGCAAGACCUUUAACAGGAUGUUCCACCUUACUAGACAUCAGAGAAUCCAUACUGGACAGAAACCAUAUAAAUGUGAUAUAUGUGGCAAAGGUUUCAGGCAAAUUGCAAACCUAGCAAGUCAUCAUAGAAUUCAUACUGGAGAGAAACCUUACAAAUGUAGUGAUUGUGGCAAGACCUUUAAUUACAGGUCCCACCUUACAAGACAUCAGAGAAUCCAUACUGGACAGAAACCGUAUAAAUGUGAUACAUGUGGCAAAGAUUUCAGUCAAAAUUCAUACCUUGAAAAUCAUCAGAGAAUUCACACUAGAGAGAAAUCUUACAGAUGUAAUGAGUGUGGCAAGACCUUUAAUAAGAUGACCAACCUUACUACACAUCAGAGAAUCCAUACUGGACAGAAACCAUAUAAAUGUGAUAUAUGUGGCAAAGAUUUCAGGCAAAUUGGAAACCUAGCAAGUCAUCAUAGAAUUCAUACUGGAGAGAAACCUUACAGAUGUAAUGAGUGUGGCAAGACCUUUAACAGGAUGUUCCACCUUACUAGACAUCAGAGAAUCCAUACUGGACAGAAACCAUAUAAAUGUGAUAUAUGUGGCAAAAGUUUCAGUCAAAAUUCAUACCUUGAAAAUCAUCAGAGA